This 2979-nucleotide long non-coding RNA is filed under the name Olea europaea subsp. europaea. The record is from RNAcentral. Lineage: Eukaryota; Viridiplantae; Streptophyta; Magnoliopsida; Lamiales; Oleaceae.
AUGAGAAUUCAAACCAAUGUUGCAUCCCCUCUAACAAAGAGCAUCAAGUCAUCCGCGAAUGCCAAGUGUGUCACUUUUAAUGGCCCACAUUUGGGACGAAAAUUAAAUUCACUAUUCUCGGUUGCUCCAUUCAACAUCCGUGAGAAAUAUUUGAGGCAAAGUACAAACUAAAAGGAAGAUAAAGGAUCCCGUCGUUGAAAGCCUUUUUUCCCUUUGAUGAAUCCAUGAAGGCUACCAUUAAGCAUAAUAGAAUAUGAUGGAGUAGUGAUACACUCCAUCAUGUAUGCAAUGAAUCUUCUACAAAUCCCAAACCACCAAGAACACCUCUAAGAAAAUCCCAGUUGACUGAAUCAUAUGCUUUCCUUAAAUCAAUCUUGAGAAGGCAUCUAGGGAUAACCUUUUUACAAUUAUAUUGCCUCAAGAGCUCUUGAACAAGAUGGAUAUUUUUCGUCAUACUCCGACCCUCCACAAAUGCCGCUUUUGCUGGAUCCACAAUAGUUCCAAGAAUAGUUCUUGACCGAGAAGCAAGAAUCUUGGUAAUAACCUUAUAGACCACGUUGUAACAAGCAAUUGGCCGAUAGUCCCCAACAAUAGGCGAGUGAGAAGCUUUCGGGACCAACACAAUAACCGUAUGGUUUGUUUGUCUAAGAAGAGAACUUGAGGAGAAUAAUUCUUCAAUUGCCUCCAUAAAAUCACUCCCAACAAUCUCCCCAGACUUCUUAAAUCUGGUCCCGGGGAUUUGUCAUCUCCAAUACUCAAAAGUGCAUCCUCAAUCUCUUGCAUCGAGAUGUCUCGUAUAAGGUCAUGCGCCUGUUAUGUGGAAACCAUCGGACCUGCCCUCAGAAUAUCUGCAUCAACAGGUUGCACAAAGCUGAUCAUGCCCAGCAAAUCAGCAUAAAACUUAGAAAAUUCUGCUGCAACCUGAUUUUGUGAUGUAGUGUAGGCUUCGUCCUCUUUAAGUACAGCAGCAAUAUAUUUCCGUUUCACAUUCCUUUUGACCAUCGAGCGAAAGAAUUUAGUGCAUUUAUCGCUAUUCUUCGGGUAAACACAUUUAGCCUUUUGGUAAUAAAAGCUUCUAUCAGCUUCGCUCAAUCCCAUGGCUACUUUCCUCAAUUGAGCCACCUUACAAUUAAGUUGGGAAUUUGUUGGAUGGUCAUGUAGCUCCAAUUGUGUCGCUUCCAGUUCCCUUUUUGCAGAUUCGGUUCUUGAAGAAAUGUGCGAAAAAUGUUUAUAAUUAAGCCUCUUUAGCGCACCCUUUAGACUUUGUAACUUUUUGCAUAGAGUAAAUUUCCUUGGCCCUCUUGAAUUCUUGUUCCCAACUCUUUUGAAUUAAGUCAUGAGAGUCUUCAUGAUUAGUCCACAUGUUGAAGAACCGAAAAGGCUUUCUCUUGUUUCCAUCAUGAUGGAAAAGUGAUACAAUGCAUGGCGAGUGAUCAGAAACGCACUUUGAUGGUAAAAAUUCGGCUAGGCUUUGGAAACCCGCUUGUACUCAAUCAUUAUUAACCAUAGCUCUAUCAAUCUUGCUCCAAACCUAUGUGUUUGUCCAAGUAUAGAAGCAUCCUAUGGAGCUCAUAUCCGUAAGACCAACAUGAAGACAGCAGUUUUCAAAAUCCUUGAUCUUAGAGGGAGUUGUCUCCCGCAUUUAGGUAUUCUCUACCUGCCCACCUGUGUCGGUUUCAGGAAUAGAUACUCUCAUAUGGGGUGAUGUCGGCUCCAUUACACCUUUCAUCCAUCUUGAGAACAUUGUUGAAAUCCCCAAGAAUAAGCCAAGGAAAAGAGUGACUCACCCCGAACUCCAUAAUAUUAUUCCAUAGAGGCUGACGACUAACAAUAGUAUGAAAUGCAUAAACAAAACUAAGAUGAAACAUAAGGGAUGUUACCUUACAAGUGGCAAUGCAAUGCAUGACUUGAGAGGUAAUCCCCAACACUAUUAGUUUCGCCUUGAUGGGAUCCCAAAGAAUUAAAAUCCUUCCAGCUUGAUGCAGAGAGGGGUUGUUCACUUGCAAAAACCCGUUGAAUUUGUUCCUCAUGAUCCGUGGUAGUUUUGAUUGCCCAAGCUUUGUUUCCAAAAUGCCCCUAACAUCAAUAUUAUGUUUUUUCAUCAAGUGUUGAACCCCAUUUUGUUUGAGGGGCCGGUUCAUGUCCCUUAUAUUCCAAGAAGCACCCUUCAUGAAGAGGGCAGUCAGCCUCUUUUUAUCCGUCUUAGUUGAUUUAGCUGGUUGCUCCACAAGCUUACUAUUAAGCUUACCAUUUGUUGGUGCCGUCAAAUUAGGACCAACAAAAUCUACAUUCCUAUUAGCCGAUUUAUGAAGCUUACAAUCUGCCCUCGACUUAGUUGGAUUUGCCCCUUUCUUCUUCUUGGCCACUACAACGAAAGGAGCAUCGUCCCCUUACGAAGCCUGCUUGUUUUGUUGCACCUCCCCUUGAUCAACUGAGGCUGCCUGAGUACUGGCAGUCUCCUGCCCAUGUUGGAUUGCUUGUUGCAACUAGGUAUUCUGCACUUCUUUGGCUAUAGCCUAUUUGCUGCUUGUGUUAUCACCUUGUUGGCCACGGGCUGUUCAUAAGCCUGAGGUUGUUUACAGCCUGUGUCGACUUCACUGUUGGCUGGAGGUUGUUUGUGAAGUUUACAUCCCUGAAUUGAAUGGCUAAACAUUCUGCAAGUAUUGCAGUAUUGCAGAAUGUGCUCAAAAUGAAUUUCAUGUUCUCUCAUUUUCCCAUUGGGCAACAUCAUUUGGACUGAUCAGACAAGCUCCUUAGACACAUCCACUUCAACUAAAACUCUUGCAUAUGAGAUUCUGUUCGUGGUUGAAGUAAGCUUGUCGGUAGAAAUCGGUUUACCCACCUUCGACACAAUCUUACUAACAGCUUUCGAUUUCCAGCACUCAAGAGGUAAUCUGGGGAGGAUUAUCCAAAUUGGUAAGGAGCAGAUUUCCUUUUCAUCAAAUUAAAAAAAUUGAGGCAUAAUCUUUAACAUUGCCG